Molecule: ribosomal RNA, 253 nt
Filed under: uncultured bacterium
Lineage: Bacteria
Description: partial 16S ribosomal RNA
Rfam family: Bacterial small subunit ribosomal RNA
Source: RNAcentral
UACGAAGGGGGCUAGCGUUGCUCGGAAUCAUUGGGCGUAAAGCGCGCGUAGGCGGUCUGUUGCGUCUGCUGUGAAAACUCGGGGCUUAACCCCGAGCCUGCAGUGGAUACGGGCAGACUAGAGGUAGGUAGGGGAGAAUGGAAUUCCCGGUGUAGCGGUGAAAUGCGCAGAUAUCGGGAGGAACACCGGUGGCGAAGGCGGUUCUCUGGGCCUUACCUGACGCUGAGGAGCGAAAGCGUGGGGAGCGAACAGG